UAGGGAAUCUUCGGCAAUGGGGGGAACCCUGACCGAGCAACGCCGCGUGAGUGAAGAAGGUUUUCGGAUCGUAAAGCUCUGUUGUUAAGGAAGAACGAGUGUGAGAAUGGAAAGUUCAUGCUGUGACGGUACUUAACCAGAAAGGGACGGCUAACUACGUGCCAGCAGCCGCGGUAAUACGUAGGUCCCGAGCGUUGUCCGGAUUUAUUGGGCGUAAAGCGAGCGCAGGCGGAUAGAAAAGUCUGAAGUGAAAGGCAGUGGCUCAACCAUUGUACGCUUUGGAAACUGUUUAACGUGAGUGCAGAAGGGGAGAGUGGAAUUCCAUGUGUAGCGGUGAAAUGCGUAGAUAUAUGGAGGAACACCGGUUGCGAAAGCGGCUCUCUGGUCUGUAACUGACGCUGAGGCUCGAAAGCGUGGGGAGCGAACAGG
RNAcentral lists this ribosomal RNA (429 nucleotides) under Bacteroidota bacterium. RNAcentral's name for it is "Bacteroidetes bacterium partial 16S ribosomal RNA". It matches the Rfam family "Bacterial small subunit ribosomal RNA", at positions 355 to 776 of the family's 1533-position model. The record is from RNAcentral. Lineage: Bacteria; Pseudomonadati; Bacteroidota.